RNAcentral lists this ribosomal RNA (372 nucleotides) under uncultured organism. RNAcentral's name for it is "bacterial SSU rRNA". It matches the Rfam family "Bacterial small subunit ribosomal RNA", at positions 526 to 896 of the family's 1533-position model. The record is from RNAcentral.
CAGAGGGUGCGAGCGUUAAUCGGAAUUACUGGGCGUAAAGCGCGCGUAGGCGGCUUUUCAAGUCGGAUGUGAAAUCCCCGGGCUCAACCUGGGAACUGCAUUCGAGACUGUCUAGCUAGAGUAUGGGAGAGGGAAGUGGAAUUUCAGGUGUAGCGGUGAAAUGCGUAGAUAUCUGAAGGAACAUCAGUGGCGAAAGCGACUUCCUGGACCAAUACUGACGCUCAUGUGCGAAAGCGUGGGGAGCAAACAGGAUUAGAUACCCUGGUAGUCCACGCCAUAAACGAUGAGAACUGGAUGUCGGAGGGGGUCUGCCCUUCGGUGUCGUAGCUAACGCGUUAAGUUCUCCGCCUGGGGAGUACGGCCGCAAGGUUG